Cyanistes caeruleus (blue tit) is the source of this 3659-nucleotide long non-coding RNA. RefSeq lists it as uncharacterized. NCBI's taxonomy places the organism in Eukaryota, Metazoa, Chordata, Aves, Passeriformes, Paridae. The record is from RefSeq and is a predicted model, not a curated record.
GCCUUCCCUUCGGUGCCGGCGGGAUAGCCGCUCUUUUGAGGUGUGCGUGCGGAACACAGAGCGGUUUUCGGUGCCGAGGCUGGCUGUAGCUCCGGGGAUGGUUUUUUUUCCGAUUAAAUUUCGGGUUUUAUUUUCGGCUAAAUUGCGUGUUUGGCUGCUCAAAAAAAAAAAAGAAAAAAAAAUUGGAAAAAAGAAGAUGUGAUUGCAUACGUGCAAAGAUGAGCACGUGUUCGCAUUUGUGUGUUAAUGUGCUGUCUAGAUUGCAGUAUGUAAAUCUAAUAGGUGUUAGGCACACAGGAACACAUGGAAUACACCCCAUGUGCACAGCACAGAUGUUGGAAUCCAGCUUUAACUCAAAGGUAAUGCCAGAUGUAUCUGUCCCUCUGUUUUUCCUGUAUGAGUGUAAGUACUGAACAGUAUUCUGUCUAUGUGAUUUCUGAACAUCUGUAUCUCCAGCAGACCUCUGUUAACUCUUACCUUAACAUCCCAACAUGCUAAACCCCAAAGUUAUUCUUAAAAAAUCAUCUCUUUUGUACUGUUCAGCCUUCCCUUAAAAGCAUAUUCAUCUUCUCUGCAAACAUAAAAGAAGUGUGACUCAAAUCUUGUUUCCCUAGGCCUGAAGUGAGCAAGGUCUGGUAUUUGGAUGGAAGACAAAUUUCUCAUAUAGACCAGAUUGCUGCAAGAAAUACAGCAAGAAAUGUUGAUCCUUGAGGCCCAUGAAUGUAUCCAGCAAGAACUUUGGCAGUCUUAAUGGUUUCUGGAUCUCAGCUCUGUAAAUGAUAGAUUGACGUGCAUGAAUAUAUGGAUUAUGGAACAGCUAUCAGGAUUGGUGUGAUAACAGGCUUUUGUAUCAGAAAGGGUUUUUGUCUAUUUCCUUUUUGUUGUUACAAAUUGAUUAAAAUCUCAUGUACAUGCCAUAACAGGAAAUCAAUUUCCUUGCUUUGUGCUUACAUUUUCUUAUAAUAGAAAUUCCUGUUUAUUUGACAAAUUAUAUAUUUAAUGAAAUGAGCAAAUUAAAUUUGUAUUUUAUUUCCUUUCAUUACAUAUUUCUUUGUUCUCAGUAACAUUUUUAACCAGCACUUUUUUUAUUUGUAUAGACUUAAUAGAGCUCAGUGGUUAACAUUCACACCCAAGAUGAAAUGGAAUAAGUGUCUUUGUUUUGCUGAAGGCAAAGUAUAAAAAAAAAUACAGAAAAAUGUUGUCAUCCCUUGCCUAUGAAAUUUGCAGAUGUGACAGGAUAUUCCAAACAAUAACUGCAUGUGAUUUAUCAGUACCGACUGCUGAUUGCAGUUUAAUUUGCUGCACUAACACCCAAAAUUCUACUGUAAAACACAGACCUUUUGUUUUGCAUUCCUCCUUUUGACAAAAACUGAUUUAAUUGACUUGUGUGUCCCACGUGUUAUCUUUAUUCCAAAUUCCUAGCUGGAAGAAUGUAGCACAGUCAUGAAAAACCUUCUGACCCUUCUGGAUAUGACAAAUAUAUAAUCUCAAGCCAUUUAACAUAUACUGCUGCUUACAGCAUACUUUCUCAAAUAAAGACUGUAUUUCUGAAUAUAAAAUAUAUUACUUAUGUAGAGUAAAAAGUAAUGAAUCUUCUCACUUCACAAAAAAAACCCCACAAAACACCUAUUAUCCAAAUUACUGUAUCGUUAUUUAAUAUAUCAUUUAAUUUUUCUUAGGAAUAAAAUCUGCAUGCUAGAAAUAUACCCUUAUAUAUUAUCUUAUAUAAGAAAUAGCUCUCUCCUAAUGCCAUACAAUUUUUCUUCAUCCUUUGCACACCUGAAAAACUUAUUUAUUUCCUUGAAUACUUGCCUUGAAUACUCUUCCACUAAGGAUAGGAUUCUUUCAAUUGUUUUCAUGAAUGAAACUGUUAAUUCAAGCUGCUAGUUUACAAACUGCCAAAGCUUUAAAGAGUUUGCUUAACGAUCUGACAUGUACAUGAGAUAAAUUAGCACCUAAAAAAAUGCAUCACGUGGUGUUUAUUGUUGCCAUUGUCAUUUAUCCCCUUUUUUUGCAUAACUUCCAAUAGAAGUUUGUUGAUAACAACAGAUUCAGAAGUCAGAGCUUCAGUGAACUCAUAUAUUAAAUCAUCUUGAGAUUAAUUCAUCUUGAGAUGAACUUGUGGAUAAAUCCAGGAACUUGCAUUCUUAAAGGACUCUGAGGUGGAAUUCAGAUAUCUCAGAAUGUAAGUGAAGACAGUUCCGCUCAGAAGAGCUCUCUGUGACACCUAAUCCUGAAGAGGCAAGAAGUUGUUCCAGUGCGAGAUGAGCUGUUCUUACUGGAAAAAUUCAAGUACAGCAAGUAGGUUCUGGAGCAUAAUUUAAAGGAGGCUUAUCUGCUCUAGGCUGUCCCUGUACUUAAUGGUAAACAGGUGUUAAAAGCCUCCUUAAGAUCUGAAUCAUCCUCUCAAGAAAGCUAUUUCUUUCAGUUGACUAUCCCUUUAUCCCUCAGGGAAAGUAAGUAUCUAAAAUAAUUUACAGGCUCAUUUAGGGGCUGAAUGCUAGAUGGGAAGAAGUCAGGUUCUGGAAUCUAUUUUUGGCUGUGCCAGAACUCACUAAAAAUGAGUAAGCAUCCAUGCUGCUAACCUCCGUUCUGGAAAUUAAGAGAAGCAGCUUACAUGAAAGUUCUGCACUAUUAUGUUAUAUUCUUUAAAGGUUAGUAAUAAAAAAAUUGAGUUUGAGAUUGUGUCUGUGGGAAGUCUUUAAUCACAAACCAGAUGAAUUAACAACUCUUAGGGACAAAAGUUUCUGACACAGACAAAAAUUAUGUUUGACUGAGUCAGUCUGCUAAAAGAAAUUUUUUUCUUAACCCAUAUCAAAAUAUUCCAUGAUGUAUUAUAAUUCAGAACAAGCCUGUUUAAGAGUUAAUUAGCCUUACAUUGCUCCUUCACAUCUCCCAAAGGAAGUACAAUGCACAUGAGAAAUUCACAUUUGGUUGCUGAGAAGUUUUAUACUUAAAAGCAGCUCUUGACUUCCAAUCUCUUCAUUGUUCUGCUGAGAUUUUUCCCAGUGCUGUUUUUGACCUACUCUAACUUUUCUGCGGUCAGUUUCUUUUUGGAGCAUGGAGAAUCAGAAACUGUCUUGUGUCAAAUAUUUAACUCUUUAGACUGGGUGACAUGCCGCAUGUUCACGUACUACAGCCUAAUAUAUACCACAGAAAGAUCUUGUAAGAGGUCUUUUCUUGUCAUGUCCUUCAAAAUACACGGUCCAACCAGAAAAUAGACAUUAUGAUGCUUAUACCAAUUCAGAGAGUGAGGAAUAUCUCCUCUUGACAGCCUUAACAUUAUGACUCAUUAUACCUAACAUGUCCUGGUCUCAUCUCUUUACAUCUUAAUCAGAUAAUGGCACUUACACUAAUCCUGAGGAGGGUGGAAACAGGUGAGCUCUAUACUUCUAUCAGUUAUAAAGUUAUCAGUUAUAAAACUGAUUAUUGAAAAGCGAUUAAAAACAACUGCUGUAAAAAGGCACUGACUUUGAUAAAGGCCCACAGCAUAUUCAGUCUAAAUGCUUUAAAUUAAUAUCAAGGAAUUUUGGCUUGGAGCACUGUAGGGGUUUUGUUUUGUUUUGUUUUUUUUCAGCAUUCUGAAAACUGCUGACAGAAUUUUUACUUUGUUUUUUCUUGUUAUUCUGUUGUUGCUAGUCUCUUGAUUAUGGCAUUAU